Molecule: ribosomal RNA, 237 nt
Filed under: uncultured Staphylococcus sp.
Lineage: Bacteria; Bacillati; Bacillota; Bacilli; Caryophanales; Staphylococcaceae
Description: partial 16S ribosomal RNA
Rfam family: Bacterial small subunit ribosomal RNA
Source: RNAcentral
CGGGUGAGUAACACGUGGAUAACCUACCUAUAAGACUGGGAUAACCUCGGGAAACCGUAGCUAAUACCGGAUAAUAUUUUGAACCGCAUGGUUCAAAAGUGAAAGACGGUCUUGCUGUCACUUAUAGAUGGAUCCGCGCUGCAUUAGCUAGUUGGUAAGGUAACGGCUUACCAAGGCAACGAUGCAUAGCCGACCUGAGAGGGUGAUCGGCCACACUGGAACUGAGACACGGUCCAG